This 379-nucleotide ribosomal RNA is filed under the name uncultured bacterium. RNAcentral's name for it is "bacterial SSU rRNA". It matches the Rfam family "Bacterial small subunit ribosomal RNA", at positions 26 to 404 of the family's 1533-position model. The record is from RNAcentral.
AGGACGAACGCUGGCGGCGUGCUUAACACAUGCAAGUCGAGCGGUAAGGCCCUUUCGGGGGGUACACGAGCGGCGAACGGGUGAGUAACACGUGGGUGACCUGCCCUCAGCUCUGGGAUAAGCCUGGGAAACCGGGUCUAAUACCGGAUAUGACUCCAUGACGCAUGUUGUGGGGUGGAAAGCCUUGUGCGGCUGAGGAUGGGCCCGCGGCCUAUCAGCUUGUUGGUGGGGUGAUGGCCUACCAAGGCGACGACGGGUAGCCGGCCUGAGAGGGCGACCGGCCACACUGGGACUGAGACACGGCCCAGACUCCUACGGGAGGCAGCAGUGGGGAAUCUUGCGCAAGUGGGCGAAAGCCUGACGCAGCGACGCCGCGUGA